Brassica napus (rape) is the source of this 2439-nucleotide long non-coding RNA. RefSeq lists it as uncharacterized. The record is from RefSeq and is a predicted model, not a curated record. NCBI's taxonomy places the organism in Eukaryota, Viridiplantae, Streptophyta, Magnoliopsida, Brassicales, Brassicaceae. The transcript has 2 exons.
CCGAGGAAAUUCCGAAGAAAUUUUACUUUCCGACGACCAUUCUCGUCGGUAUGUCCUCGGAAUACCGUUAUUCCGAGGACAUACCGACGAUAUUUGUCGUCGGAAUACCGGUGUUUUCUUGUAGUGUGACUUGAUAACCUGAAACAAAGGGGGUGAAAUGAGAUGCAGAUUAUGAUAUGAAUAAAACAAGAAUAAUAAACUGAAAGAAAGGAUAGAAAUGGCGGAAUCAAGCUGCUGGGUGUGUAUCACUCUCAGCUUGAUCAAAUGAUGGCUUGAAGUGGAUUUACGGAUGAGGGUUUGAUUGAAUCUCUCAAUCUGAUGGAAUGAUGGAUCGAAUUGAUUGACUCUCUCAAUCUGUGUACUGAGCUUAUUUGAUUUGCACAAAUAAAUUAGACUCACGAAAUCAAUAGAACAACAAAAAAAUCUUUCUUUGAAUCCUAAAGACCGAUAUUUUAUAUACUACAAAAAAAAGGGGAACAUUGUGACUAAAUUUUAUGACAAAAUUUUUUGUCACAAUAUUGUGACUAUUUAGUAUUUACUUACUAGAUAGUGACUAAAUUUUUUUGUCGCAAAAUCGUAAAUAUUUUGUCACAAUAUUGCGAUGAAUGUAUAAGUAACAAAAAAACGUUACAAAAAGUUACAAAUAUGUGACGAAGUGGUUAGUCACAAAUGAUGUUACGGAAUCGAGACUAAAACUCGUCCCUACUAGAUACAAUUUCGCGACUUACAUUAUGUCACCCACGGUGACUGAAGUUUGUAAUCAUAUAUCAUCUCAAUUUGUUACUGGGGUGGUGACUUUUAAUUUAGUCAUAAAUUGAGAGAUAAAAUACUACUAUAUUUUGUCACUAUUAUAAAAACCAUAUGCUUUAAAAUUCACUCAAAAUUUAAUCUUAUUCAAACAUUUAUCUUAAAUCAAUAAUCAAAACUCCAAACACCAUACCGUAAACUCCAAACUUUAAGUUAUAAAGAUUAAACCUUACACAUAAAGUAAUAAAUUAUAAUUACUAUAAACUUAACUAAUAUUUUACACUCAUACAACUUUUUAAUUUUCAAUUCUAAUUUAAAAACCUUAACCUCAUACUUUUUUUUUUUGAACAAGGGCAUAACCUCGUACUUUAAACCUCAAAUUGUAAUCCCCAAACUCCAAACCUUAAAUAAUAAAAGAUAACCCAGUUAAAAUCAUAAAUAAUAAACAAAACGUAAUCACUAAUUUUUAACAAAAAAAUAUAAUCACUAAUUAUAUACAAAUACUUUAAACAUUUACAUAUAAAACUUAAUAAAUUUUAUUUUAAAAAAUAUGUAUAUAAAUUAAAUUUACAUAAACUUUUUAAAAACCAGCAUUUUAAUCUUUUAUAAAUCUUAACACCAAACCCUAAAAACAAACUUCAAAUCAUAUACCCUCACUCCAAAUUCUAAAUCCUAACUCUACUCUUGAACUUAGACUUUUAGUCAUAGAAAUUAAAUCACGAACUCUAAUAACAAACCUUCAACUUUAAACAAAUUCAUGCAACCAUAUACCCUGAACUCUAAAUUAUGUCUUAAUUUUUUUUUAAAUUAUCAUAAAAUUUAAUUCGUAAACCAUUACACUAACAUAUAACCAUUAAAUAUACUUAAACAAAAUUAAUCUAGUUUUAACAAAAAAAAUACUAUUUUAGUUUUCCCACGUUUUGAGAAUAUACAACUCGUUCUGGCUUCAUUUUUUUUAGGCAUUAAUCUAGUUAUCCCACGUUUUGAGAAUAUACCUUUUUUUUUGUAACUGCGUUUUGAGAAUAUACUUCUAUCUCAUAACCCUACUUUACUCCUCCGUCUCUUUCUUUUUAAUUUCGUGUAGCCUCCACCCACACUUUUCUCUCUUUCUCCAAACAAAUCAACAAUCCUCUUGAUUCUUUUUGUUUCAGUUAUCCAUUUGAUUCUAUCUCUCUCAUUUUCUUAUCCCUUAGAACAUCUCUUUCUUUCACUUUAUCUCUCUGUGAUUUUAAUUUAUAAUGUUUUAGAUUCAGUGUCAUGCUCUUCUCCCUCAUUAAAGGUAGAAACUCACGACCCUACUGCCUCUCGACGACUAUACUGAUCCGUACGUAAUGCAAAUGGUAUUAACAAGUUGAUAUUUCGGAUACAGAUCGAUGUACCUAGAUAGAGCCAAUACUUCGUCGUAGAUUUGGCGACUACCCUGUUCGAGGCUUUCAUUAGGAAAAUAUGAAAAGCCAGUGCCAAUGAUGAAGGAGAAUACAAGGACAGCGGGGGUGUAGACAAGGGCAGAAGGAGAAUCUACAAAUGCCGAUUGUUUGCUGUAGUUUGAUAGAGGCAAAGGAGACCAGUGUUACCCUAAUUUUCUUUGCUUUGGUUUGUAUUAUAAUUGGUUAUCUAGUACCAACUUAAUUUUUUGUAACCAGUUAACCAAUAUGUGGUUCAGAUAAUCAAUAAAAUAUAUUUUAGUUACAA